CAAUCAACUGUGAUUUGUGAUGUGAAUGGUUCAUACUACUCUUGGGCAAGAGAGAAUUGUGCUAAAAGCUGUAAAUUUUGUCAAGUCACACCAAAUCAAGGUAACACUGAAACUACGACUGCUCUCUUUACGUCUGGAUUCCAUGAAGUUUGUAAAGAUACUUUGAAUUGUAAUGUGUACAAUGCAGUUCGAGUGUGCAAUAAAUCAGGGAUAUACUAUGAAUGGGCAAAGAGAAACUGUGCGUUAUACUGCGGAUUCU
Molecule: long non-coding RNA, 259 nt
Organism: Saccostrea echinata
Lineage: Eukaryota; Metazoa; Mollusca; Bivalvia; Ostreida; Ostreidae
Exons: 3
Source: RefSeq, a predicted model, not a curated record